Molecule: long non-coding RNA, 256 nt
Filed under: Brassica napus (rape)
Lineage: Eukaryota; Viridiplantae; Streptophyta; Magnoliopsida; Brassicales; Brassicaceae
Description: long non-coding RNA (BNAP_LNC004232)
Source: RNAcentral
UACCUAUGUCACCAAAGUUGACUUACCUUUUCUGGAGCACAUCCUGAAAGAACUCCAGAGUUAAGCGUGCUUGAGCUGGAGUAGUGGAAGGAUGGGUGACCUAUCGGGAAGUGAUUCGCGAUAGCAUGCGAGUGAGGCCAAACCAUGGGGAAAUGUCGGGUGGUGAUUGCAGGGUCAGUAAACAAUGAUUCCGAGCCUUGGAAAAUUAACGGACCGACCGUCAGACAGGAUGGGGCCCACGGGCCGAGAGAGCGGG